AGUGAACGCUGGCGGUAGGCCUAACACAUGCAAGUCGAACGGCAGCACAGUAAGAGCUUGCUCUUACGGGUGGCGAGUGGCGGACGGGUGAGGUAUACAUCGGAAUCUACUUUUUCGUGGGGGAUAACGUAGGGAAACUUACGCUAAUACCGCAUACGACCUACGGGUGAAAGCAGGGGAUCUUCGGACCUUGCGCGAUUGAAUGAGCCGAUGUCGGAUUAGCUAGUUGGCGGGGUAAAGGCCCACCAAGGCGACGAUCCGUAGCUGGUCUGAGAGGAUGAUCGGCGGCACUGGAAGUGGGACACGGUCCAGACUCCUACGGGAGGCAGCAGAGGGGAAUAUUGGGCAAUGGGCGCAAGCCUGAUCCAGCCAUACCGCGUGGGUGAAGAAGGCCUUCGGGUUGUAAAGCCCUUUUGUUGGGAAAGAAAAGCAGCAGGUUAAUACCCCGCUGUUCUGACGGUACCCAAAGAAUAAGCACCGGCUAACUUCGUG
This 492-nucleotide ribosomal RNA is filed under the name uncultured bacterium. Its description in RNAcentral is "partial 16S ribosomal RNA". It matches the Rfam family "Bacterial small subunit ribosomal RNA", at positions 29 to 507 of the family's 1533-position model. The record is from RNAcentral.